UACUCCUACGGGAGGCAGCAGUGGGGAAUAUUGGACAAUGGGCGAAAGCCUGAUCCAGCCAUGCCGCGUGUGUGAAGAAGGUCUUCGGAUUGUAAAGCACUUUAAGUUGGGAGGAAGGGCAGUAAAUUAAUACUUUGCUGUUUUGACGUUACCGACAGAAUAAGCACCGGCUAACUCUGUGCCAGCAGCCGCGGUAAUACAGAGGGUGCAAGCGUUAAUCGGAAUUACUGGGCGUAAAGCGCGCGUAGGUGGUUCGUUAAGUUGGAUGUGAAAUCCCCGGGCUCAACCUGGGAACUGCAUUCAAAACUGACGAGCUAGAGUAUGGUAGAGGGUGGUGGAAUUUCCUGUGUAGCGGUGAAAUGCGUAGAUAUAGGAAGAAACACCAGUGGCGAAGGCGACCACCUGGACUGAUACUGA
Molecule: ribosomal RNA, 417 nt
Filed under: uncultured bacterium
Lineage: Bacteria
Description: bacterial SSU rRNA
Rfam family: Bacterial small subunit ribosomal RNA
Source: RNAcentral